UACAGGGGGUGCAAACGUUGCUCGGAAUCAUUGGGCGUAAAGCGCACGUAGGCGGUUCGUCGCGUCGGCUGUGAAAACCUGAGGCUCAACCUCAGGCCUGCAGUCGAUACGGGCGGACUUGAGUACUGCAGGGGGAGACUGGAAUUCCUGGUGUAGCGGUGAAAUGCGCAGAUAUCAGGAGGAACACCGGUGGCGAAGGCGGGUCUCUGGGCAGUAACUGACGCUGGAGGUGCGAAAAGCGUGGGGGAGCAAACAGG
Molecule: ribosomal RNA, 257 nt
Filed under: uncultured bacterium
Lineage: Bacteria
Description: partial 16S ribosomal RNA
Rfam family: Bacterial small subunit ribosomal RNA
Source: RNAcentral